GCCGACUUAGCUCAACGGGAGAGGGCCCGCGUUGUAGGCGUGGCGGUUGCUGGUUCAUCCGGCAGCCGGCUCCA
RNAcentral lists this transfer RNA (74 nucleotides) under Bradyrhizobium sp. Leo78. RNAcentral's name for it is "tRNA-Tyr". Lineage: Bacteria; Pseudomonadati; Pseudomonadota; Alphaproteobacteria; Hyphomicrobiales; Nitrobacteraceae. RNAcentral also lists the same sequence under 10 other names. The record is from RNAcentral.